Molecule: ribosomal RNA, 253 nt
Filed under: uncultured bacterium
Lineage: Bacteria
Description: partial 16S ribosomal RNA
Rfam family: Bacterial small subunit ribosomal RNA
Source: RNAcentral
UACGAGAGGUCCAAGCGUUAGUCGGAAUUACUGGGCUUAAAGGGUGCGUAGGCGGGUCUGUAAGUGCCUUGUGAAAUCCCCGGGCUCAACCUGGGAAUUGCAGGGCAUACUGCGGACCUUGAGGAAGCUAGAGGCCGGCAGAACGAUAGGUGGAGCGGUGGAAUGCGUAGAUAUCUAUCGGAAUGCCAAAGGUGAAGACAGCCGGCUGGGGCUUUCCUGACGCUGAGGCACGAAAGCGUGGGGAUCAAACAGG